GUAGGGAAUAUUGGGCAAUGGAGGCAACUCUGACCCAGCCAUGCCGCGUGCAGGAUGACGGCCCUCUGGGUUGUAAACUGCUUUUACACGGGAAGAAAAAAUACUACGUGUAGUAUACUGACGGUACCGUAAGAAUAAGGAUCGGCUAACUCCGUGCCAGCAGCCGCGGUAAUACGGAGGAUCCAAGCGUUGUCCGGAUUUAUUGGGUUUAAAGGGUGCGUAGGCGGAUCUUUAAGUCAGUGGUGAAAGCCUGCAGCUUAACUGUAGAAUUGCCAUUGAAACUGAAGAUCUUGAAUGUGGUUAAAGUAGGCGGAAUGUAUCAUGUAGCGGUGAAAUGCUUAGAUAUGAUACAGAACACCGAUAGCGAAGGCAGCUUGCUGAACCAUUAUUGACGCUGAGGCACGAAAGCGUGGGGAGCGAACAGGAUUAGAAACCCCUGUAGUCC
This 445-nucleotide ribosomal RNA is filed under the name uncultured bacterium. RNAcentral's name for it is "partial 16S ribosomal RNA". It matches the Rfam family "Bacterial small subunit ribosomal RNA", at positions 354 to 796 of the family's 1533-position model. The record is from RNAcentral.